UGCCCAGCAUCCCUGGGAGGGCCCUGUGGUAGUUUCAGCUCCCUCUGGGGGCCCAGAAUGGACCUGGCCUGUGGUGAGGAUGUAAGCACCAAUGGCCAAUUGGGUCCAAAGGAAGACACCGGUUCAAACACUGAAACCAGUCAGAUUCUCCCCCGGCCUUCCUGCUAUGGGAAGACACUGGUGCAGGGGUGGUUGCUGUGUACAGAGCAGAGCCACCCAAUCCCCACGCAGGCGCUGUGUCCUGCCACGCUGGCCGCCUCCUGGCCAUCACAUCGGGCCAAGCAGGGGACAGGAAUGGGAAUGCCCACGCACCCCUAUCAAUUCUGCAGACACAGAACCAUGCACAGCUCUUGGGAGGAGUCAACGUGAGCUGCUCAAAGCCCGGGAGGGACCACACAGUGGUCAGCGUGGCAGGGACGGUGCUUUAGCCAAGGCAGGGAUGGUGGGAGACUCACUUGGGAUCCUCAAGGAGGCUGCUGCAUUUCCGUGCUCUUUCCAGAUAACAAGGACGUGUCGGUGAUGAUGAGCGAGAUGGACGUGAACGCCAUCGCAGGCACGCUGAAGCUGUACUUCCGUGAGCUGCCUGAGCCCCUCUUCACUGACGAGUUCUACCCCAACUUCGUAGAGGGCAUCGGGUGGCAGAGAAGGAGGCAGUCAAUAAGAUGUCCCUGCACAACCUUGCCACGGUCUUUGGCCCCACGCUGCUCCGGCCCUCCGAGAAGGAGAGCAAGCUCCCUGCCAACCCCAGCCAGCCCAUCACCAUGACUGACAGCUGGUC
Molecule: small RNA, 778 nt
Filed under: Pongo abelii (Sumatran orangutan)
Lineage: Eukaryota; Metazoa; Chordata; Mammalia; Primates; Hominidae
Description: processed transcript
Source: RNAcentral